RNAcentral lists this ribosomal RNA (425 nucleotides) under uncultured cyanobacterium. RNAcentral describes it as "bacterial SSU rRNA". It matches the Rfam family "Bacterial small subunit ribosomal RNA", at positions 356 to 795 of the family's 1533-position model. The record is from RNAcentral. Lineage: Bacteria; Bacillati; Cyanobacteriota.
GGGGAAUCUUCCGCAAUGGGGGCAACCCUGACGGAGCAAUACCGCGUGGGGGAGGAAGGCUCUUGGGUCGUAAACCCCUUUUCUCAGGGAAGAACACAAUGACGGUACCUGAGGAAUCAGCAUCGGCUAACUCCGUGCCAGCAGCCGCGGUAAUACGGAGGAUGCAAGCGUUAUCCGGAAUCAUUGGGCGUAAAGCGUCCGUAGGUGGUGUUUCAAGUCUGCUGUUAAAGCCCGGGGCUCAACCCUGGAGGAGCAGUGGAAACUGGAAUACUGGAGUGCGGUAGGGGUAGAGGGAAUUCCCGGUGUAGCGGUGAAAUGCGUAGAUAUCGGGAAGAACACCAGUGGCGAAGGCGCUCUACUGGACCGUAACUGACACUGAUGGACGAAAGCUAGGGGAGCGAAAGGGAUUAGAUACCCCAGUAGUC